GGAUUCAUUACCGGGCAAUUACUCCGUUGGCAGUAGCUUGGCCAGAAAUUGCCAAUGGCAAUUUAGUAAUAUUAGCCAGCUCACUGCCAAGGGAGAUUUGCCCCGCAAUGUACCC
This 115-nucleotide microRNA precursor is filed under the name Erythranthe guttata (spotted monkey flower). RNAcentral's name for it is "Mimulus guttatus (spotted monkey flower) mir-399 microRNA precursor family". It matches the Rfam family "mir-399 microRNA precursor family". Rfam says of the family: mir-399 was identified in both Arabidopsis thaliana and Oryza sativa computationally and was later experimentally verified. mir-399 is thought to target mRNAs coding for a phosphatase transporter. The record is from Rfam by way of RNAcentral. Lineage: Eukaryota; Viridiplantae; Streptophyta; Magnoliopsida; Lamiales; Phrymaceae.